AUCAGAACGAGAGCAGUGGCUCAUCCAGUGCUGUAUACAGGCCAAGAGUCUGGUAGUUUGAUGUUUUACAUUUCCUGAAAGACUUCAUUACACCACGCGAAAGCCGGUGUAACAUUCCGAACAGUGUUGUGCCUCACAACUCUGGUACAGAAAUCCCGAGGACUAGGAAGACGCCUGACAACUCAGUGAUAGAAAUCAACAGGACUGAGAUCAUAAUUUUUUAUGAUGAGAGUAGUAAUAUCGAUAGCCCACCAUGUACAUCAAAUAGUGAACGCCCAGAUAUCACAAUUGAUAAUAUGGAUGUGGUGGUAGUUAACAACAGUGCUGAAUUUGAGGUGCCUAGUACUCCAGUGGUUUCUGGUGCAUAUUCCACUACACCAAAAGUUCGGAAGAUGAGAAAGAGUGAUAGUAAUCCCUUACUAAAUACAGUACUGGAGAACUUAAACUCAAAAUUAACCCAAAAGGCAUUAGACCCAUCUCCACAUGAUGCUUUGGGACACUUCAUUGUUGAAGAGUUGUCCAGAAUACGAAAUCCAAUGACUGUGAGAGACACAAAACAUAAGAUACUGAAAUUUAUCAUGGAAGCUCAAAUAAUGGAUGAUAAUUGUUGAAUUGU
Schistocerca serialis cubense is the source of this 616-nucleotide long non-coding RNA. RefSeq lists it as uncharacterized. The record is from RefSeq and is a predicted model, not a curated record. The transcript has 4 exons. NCBI's taxonomy places the organism in Eukaryota, Metazoa, Arthropoda, Insecta, Orthoptera, Acrididae.